GACGAACGCUGGCGGCGUGCCUAAUACAUGCAAGUAGAACGCUGAAGGAGGAGCUUACUUCUCUGGAUGAGUUGCGAACGGGUGAGUAACGCGUAGGUAACCUGCCUGGUAGCGGGGGAUAACUAUUGGAAACGAUACCUAAUACCGCAUAAGAGUAGAUGUUGCAUGACAUUUACCUAAAAGGUGCAAUUGCACCACUACCAGAUGGACCUUCGUUGUAUUAGCUAGUUGGUGGGGUAACGGCUUACCAAGGCGACGAUACAUAGCCGACCUGAGAGGGUGAUCGGCCACACUGGGACUGAGACACGGCCCAGACUCCUACGGGAGGCAGCAGUAGGGAAUCUUCGGCAAUGGACGGAAGUCUGACCGAGCAACGCCGCGUGAGUGAAGAAGGUUUUCGGAUCGUAAAGCUCUGUUGUAAGAGAAGAACGAGUGUGAGAGCGGAAAGUUCACACUGUGACGGUAUCUUACCAGAAAGGGACGGCUAACUACGUGCCAGCAGCCGCCGCCG
This 511-nucleotide ribosomal RNA is filed under the name uncultured bacterium. RNAcentral describes it as "partial 16S ribosomal RNA". It matches the Rfam family "Bacterial small subunit ribosomal RNA", at positions 28 to 523 of the family's 1533-position model. The record is from RNAcentral.